CCCUAGGCCCCUUCCUUCCAUAAGACCUACUCAGGACUCCACUGGGCUGCUGACUACUCACCCUCCCCUCAGGUCAUCUCCUGACCCGUACACAGUUAUGUCCACCCAGGGUCUGCUUGGACACCUGUGCCUGAUGUUCACCAGGGGCCAGAUGUCGUCCUCAGGCCUGAUGUCCACCUAGGGCCUGAUGACUGCCUUGGCCUAUGUCCCUCUGGGGGCCUUGUGUUCACCUGGGGACUGUAUCCAGCUGGGGCCUGAUGGCCUACUGGGUCUUGUUGUUCACCUAAGGCCUUGUGUCCACCUGGGGACUGGUGAUCACCUGGGGCCUGGGUGUCCACCUGAGGCCAGAGGUGCACCUAAGGCCUGAGUUUUCACCUGGGCCUGAUGAUCACCUGGGGACUGGGUGUGUGCCUUGGGUCUUUUCCCUUUUCCUGAACAGGGCUUGCAGUUUCCAAACCAGACACAAUCUCCCAGUUGGAGAAAGAAAAAGGAUCCUAGAUGAUAGUGAGACAAAUUUCAGGAAACUCCAUCCAAAUAAGUAAAUGAGAAUGAGGACAGGAUUCAUUGCAUGGUGGCAUGUGCCUGCAGUCCCAGCUACUCAAGAGGCUGAGGUGGGAGGAUCGCUUGAACUCAGGAGUUGAAGGCUGCAGUGGGUGAGGAUCACAACACUGAAUUCCAGCUGAGGUGACAGAAUGAGACCCUGUCUCUCUAAAAAACAAGCAAGCAAACAAACCAAAAACCACAGACAAACCAGACCCCUCUUAGCAGAAUACUUCCAUGAGGUAAUAAAAGCUUCACAGGUCCACAAGUUGAAAGUGUACCCCCAGGAGCUGCACUAAAUGAUUUGUACCCAUCUGCACCUGAUUUAGAACGUUUAGAAGGAGCUGUUUCAGGCCUCCUCCUCCUCCCGUAAUAACUUGCAGUCUUUCCUAUGUUAUAAUAAAGCUACAUUUUCUUCUGAAAACUGGCAGGUUCUCCCUUCCUAACGCAGGCAGCCGAAGAGAGGGUGUCAGGAGCCAGAGGGUGUCAAGAGCAGCCAGGGCACACCGGCCUGCAUGGGGGCAUCCCUGGUCCAAGUCAGUGGCCAGAGCUGCAGCCUGGCUUUGUGCCCAAAGUUUUGUCUGGGUGUCAGGAAGGCCAUGCACUCACAUUUCAUCUCUUUUUGUGACUGGUCUGCUGCUGGUUGACCCUCGUUCCUCCUUUUUUGGGCAGGAAGGUGACAUCCAGGAUUCAGGAGAGCCUUCUGACUUGGGUGUGCAUGAAAGUCACCUGAGGCCCUUGACGUGCAGGAAUCCUUGCCAGCCUUGGAUUGCAAGCCCCAGGCUAUGGUAUAGCAAUGUGCAUUUUGUAGCAAGCUCCCUGCGUGAUUGGAGAGUCACAAAUGGAAAGAAAUACUAUAAUCAGUGGAGAGAAGAUGUGCACAGCUAUACAAGUGUAUGGUUCUGUGACAUACCACGAGGUGGGGGUGGACCUUUAUGACAUCUUCUCCCAGCAACCCCACAUAUUUCCCUUGCCCUCAGUGGGUCAGGAGUCUCCUGCUUGGCCUCAUCUUCGAAUCUGAAGCCUCUGAGUUCUGAAUAGUUCAGCCCCCUACUUUUUUAGAUGCCUCUGUGGCAAACCUUUGUUAUCUGACUUUUCUUUUAUUUGACAGAGCCUCGCUCUGUCGCCCAGGUUGGAGUGCAGUGGUGUGAUCUCGGCUGACUGCAAGUCCCGCCUCCUGGGUUCACGCCAUUCUCCUGCCUCAGCCUCCUGAGUAGCUGGGGACUACAGGCGCCUGCUACCACGCCCAGCUAAUUUUUUGUACUUUUAGUAGAGACGGGGUUUCACCGUGUUAGCCAGGAUUGUCUGGAUCUCCUGACCUCGUAAUCCACCCACCUGGCCUCCCAAAGUGCUAGGAUUACAGGUGUGAGCCACGGCGCCCUGAGGACUGGCAGACCCAUCUGACUUUCUUGGAGUAGAGGAGGAAGAGGAGGAAGAAGAGGUGCAGGAGGAAGACCAGUGUUGAUUGAGCCAGCGGGAAGCAGAAUCUCUGGAGGGCCAUGCAGAGCCUUGGGGACUGACCAAGUUCCCCCACUGAGGGGUCCCAGGCUGGACCGACAGGAGAGCCUGGGAGGAGUUCUGACCCUGGAGAGGAGGUUGGCCCAGCCAGGGAGACAUGUCCUGCUUCAGAGAGGCCUUUCUAAAAACAAAACCCAUCCCUGAGGAAGCAAGACAUCUGGUGACUGCUCCGUUCUACCCCAAUUCUCACUCACUCUGGCCAGUGAAGCCGC
Molecule: long non-coding RNA, 2270 nt
Filed under: Homo sapiens (human)
Lineage: Eukaryota; Metazoa; Chordata; Mammalia; Primates; Hominidae
Description: HSALNT0388675
Source: RNAcentral